GCUGGUGUGGCUCAGUGGUAGAGCAAUUGAUUCGUAAUCAAUAGGUCGGCGGUUCAAAUCCGCCCAUCAGCUCCA
This 75-nucleotide transfer RNA is filed under the name Bacillota bacterium. RNAcentral's name for it is "tRNA-Thr". It matches the Rfam family "tRNA". From Rfam's summary of the family: Transfer RNA (tRNA) molecules are approximately 80 nucleotides in length. Their secondary structure includes four short double-helical elements and three loops (D, anti-codon, and T loops). Further hydrogen bonds mediate the characteristic L-shaped molecular structure. tRNAs have two regions of fundamental functional importance: the anti-codon, which is responsible for specific mRNA codon recognition, and the 3' end, to which the tRNAs corresponding amino acid is attached (by aminoacyl-tRNA synthetases). tRNAs cope with the degeneracy of the genetic code in two manners: having more than one tRNA (with a specific anti-codon) for a particular amino acid; and 'wobble' base-pairing, i.e. permitting non-standard base-pairing at the 3rd anti-codon position. RNAcentral also lists the same sequence under 1 other name. Lineage: Bacteria; Bacillati; Bacillota. The record is from RNAcentral.